AAGUCGUAACAAGGUUUCCGUAGGUGAACCUGCGGAAGGAUCAUUAACACGAGAAUGUGUGUUUGUUGUGUGUGCGCCUUUCCUUCGGGUGAGCGCGUGUGCCGCAUCAUGCAUUUUUUUUACCCUUUCCAACCCCAACCUGUUGAAUUGUUUUGCAAGGAUGUUCUCUAUCUGUCGUGUGUUUGUUUUUCAAACACUUGACUUUUUUUCUUUAAACACCUUCAAACCUGAGCAACUGAUGAGAGUAGGAGGCUUCGGUCUUCUGCAAUCAGUUUUUCUAAACUCUUUUGCUAAUAAACAAAAACAAAACAAACUAUUACAACUCUUAGCAACGGAUAUCUUGGUUCUC
RNAcentral lists this unclassified non-coding RNA (349 nucleotides) under fungal sp. RNAcentral's name for it is "partial internal transcribed spacer region". The stretch from base 1 to 46 matches the Rfam family "Eukaryotic small subunit ribosomal RNA", at positions 1786 to 1831 of the family's 1831-position model. Lineage: Eukaryota; Fungi. The record is from RNAcentral.